ACUAAAAGGGAUAGGAUAGAAAAGUUGGCUUUUUUAAAUCAAAUCGACAACUGAAUAAAUUAAAAAUCGAAUUUUAUUGAAUUUAUUAAAAUUUUUCAUAAGUGUUCCAAUAGUAAAAAUUGUGAUUAAAUUUUAAAUAUUUUUGAUUAUACAAUAAAAAGUUUAAAAUUCAAAAAUUUUGAGGAACAAGCAAAUACGUACAUACAUGUAGAAUAUUGUACCGUUAGAAAAAAAAUUUAGAAGCGUGGUUCCAAAUUAACUGGUUGCUGCAUUUAAAUUGGAACAAUAGAAAUUAAAAGCGUGAAUAAUUGAAAUAAAAAAUAAGGAAAUGUUAAAAUAACUGGAGUUUCAGAGAAGCUUGGUAAAACAAAAUGUACAAUUCAACUAAGAUCUUUAAACCUUAAAUAAGUUGUGUUAUAUGUAAAAUUGCGGUCAAGUUUCCCCAGGAAGAUUUCUAACGGAUCAAUUAAUGGGUGGCUAGAAGAAUAUUUCGACUUACGAGGAUUCACAAGCAGUUCAUUUUGUAAUAAAUUUAAAAAUAUACAAUUAAGAUUUGGAAGUCGAACCUAAUAUUUAUUGGAUAACAAAAUUUUCCAGAAUAAGAAUUAUCAAUUUAAAUGGAAAAUUCUGAAUCGUUUUUUUUAUUUUGUUGCUGUUUUCCUUACGAAAUGGUAAUUAUAAAUUGGAAUUGCAGAAAAAGUAUAAAACAAUUUGAAAUUGGUUUUAAAAUAUACAAACUCAUACUUGCAAACACUGCAUGUUUUCGCACACAACAGAAGUGAAAGUUCUUUUAAGAACGGGUAAAUUAAAUAAAAGAAUAACAAAAAAAAAUAA
Long non-coding RNA from Condylostylus longicornis, 834 nucleotides. RefSeq lists it as uncharacterized. The transcript is spliced from 4 exons. The record is from RefSeq and is a predicted model, not a curated record. Lineage: Eukaryota; Metazoa; Arthropoda; Insecta; Diptera; Dolichopodidae.